AGUGAACGCUGGCGGCAGGCCUAACACAUGCAAGUCGAACGGCAGCCCAGUAAGAGCUUGCUCUUACGGGUGGCGAGUGGCGGACGGGUGAGGAAUAUAUCGGAAUCUACUUUUUCGUGGGGGGUAACGUAGGGAAACUUACGCUAAUACCGCAUACGACCUACGGGUGAAAGCAGGGGAGCUUCGGACCUUGCGCGAUUGAAUGAGUCGAUGUCGGAUUAGCUAGUUGGCGGGGUAAAGGCCAACCAAGGCGACGAUCCGUAGCUGGUCUGAGAGGAUGACCAGCCACACUGGAACUGAGACACGGUCCAGACUCCUACGGGAGGCAGCAGUGGGGAAUAUUGGACAAUGGGCGCAAGCCUGAUCCAGCCAUACCGCGUGGGUGAAGAAGGCCUUCGGGUUGUAAAGCCCUUUUGUUGGGAAAGAAGAGCAGCAGGUUAAUACCCCGCUGUUCUGACGGUACCCAAAGAAUAAGCACCGGCUAACUUCGUG
This 492-nucleotide ribosomal RNA is filed under the name uncultured bacterium. Its description in RNAcentral is "partial 16S ribosomal RNA". It matches the Rfam family "Bacterial small subunit ribosomal RNA", at positions 29 to 507 of the family's 1533-position model. The record is from RNAcentral.